This is a long non-coding RNA of Gossypium arboreum, 905 nucleotides long. RefSeq lists it as uncharacterized. NCBI's taxonomy places the organism in Eukaryota, Viridiplantae, Streptophyta, Magnoliopsida, Malvales, Malvaceae. The record is from RefSeq and is a predicted model, not a curated record. The transcript is spliced from 2 exons.
CUUUGAUUUAAAUUUGAGGCCCAAUGAUUAGAUGAGGUCAAGGUAGGGUAACACUCGGUAUAUGGGCAAGCUCUGAAAUUUAUAAAUUAAAUGUUGUUCACCCCACUAAUACUCUUGACAUGUACGUGGGCACGUAACUAAUAUUGAAAUAUGAUACAAAAUUCCCUUAGAUGGGAAUGAAGCAAAAGAAAAGAAAGCUUGGCAAGGUAAUGAGGAGACUCAGAUAAUAGGAUUGCCACGAAGAAUACAUGAUGUGCCAAGUGCGACUAGCUGAACUAUCAACUACGACCUAAUGAAUGAUGGGUUAAGACCCAAAGGUAUAUCAUGUGUAUGAAUGUAUUUUCGUACAUACCUCUUUACAACUUUCAUGCAUCUAUCUAGUGAAUCACAAGGAUUGAGAAGCGUGUCAACCAUCUAAAGGAGCAAGGAAAAAUAUCUAUGUAACCCAGGUAAGAAAAGGGAACUAUUCCUUUACUUUCUUAAGAAGUAGUCUCUGGUUAUAUAAGGAUGAAAUAAGAGGAAAAUAAGAGGAAAAAAUUCUCUUAUCCUUUAAGCAGAAGUUGGGAAAAUGGAUCCAAGCUUGGAGAUGCCCCUUAUUAAGGGGUUGUUGAUAUACUCGGUGGAAGCCCAGAUACGGUAUUUGGAGCUGCUAAAGUGAGUAAUUUUUGAGCACCUUGUGAACUUCUUGUAAGUAUAUCGUGAGAAACUCGUGAGAGUGUUAUGAAUCUCUAAACUGACUCUUAUAUGUAUGUUUGUAUAUUAAUAUCUUUUAUACUAAAUAUCUGAUCUGUGAAACGAGAAAGUAAGCAAUAUGUUGAUUCUGUAUACGAUGAACUUGCAAGUGUUGCUUGAUGAUAUGCCUCCAUUAUGAAAAGAAGUAUAUGCUUGAUGAAUGUGUGAAGAAA